This 148-nucleotide non-coding RNA is filed under the name Gorilla gorilla gorilla (western lowland gorilla). Lineage: Eukaryota; Metazoa; Chordata; Mammalia; Primates; Hominidae. The record is from Rfam by way of RNAcentral.
GCUGGGCAUGGUGGCGGGUGCCUGUAAUCCCAGCUACUUGGGAGGCUGAGGCAGGAGAAUUGCUUGAACCUGGGAGGUGGAAGUUGCAGUGACCUGAGAUUGUACCACUGCACUCCAGCCUGGGUAACAGAGCAAGACUCUGUCUCAA